AGGGGUGUAGCUCAGCCUGGCCAGAGCAGCGGUCUCCAAAGCCGCGUGUCGAGGGUUCGAAUCCUUCCUCCCCUGCCA
RNAcentral lists this transfer RNA (78 nucleotides) under marine sediment metagenome. RNAcentral's name for it is "tRNA-Trp". It matches the Rfam family "tRNA". From Rfam's summary of the family: Transfer RNA (tRNA) molecules are approximately 80 nucleotides in length. Their secondary structure includes four short double-helical elements and three loops (D, anti-codon, and T loops). The record is from RNAcentral.